This 468-nucleotide ribosomal RNA is filed under the name uncultured bacterium. RNAcentral describes it as "partial 16S ribosomal RNA". It matches the Rfam family "Bacterial small subunit ribosomal RNA", at positions 28 to 507 of the family's 1533-position model. The record is from RNAcentral.
GACGAACGCUGGCGGCGUGCUUAACACAUGCAAGUCGAACGGAAAGGCCCUGCUUUUGUGGGGUGCUCGAGUGGCGAACGGGUGAGUAACACGUGAGUAACCUGCUCUUGACUUUGGGAUAACUUCAGGAAACUGGGGCUAAUACCGGAGAGGAGCUCCUGCUGCAGGGUGGGGGUUGGAAAGUUUCGGCGGUUGGGGAGGGACUCGGGGCUUAUCAGCUUGUUGGUGGGGUAGUGGCUUACCAAGGCUUGGACGGGUGGCCGGCCUGGGAGGGUGACCGGCCAAAUUGGGACUGGGAUACGGCCCAGACUCCUCCGGGAGGCAGCAGUGGGGAAUAUUGCACAAUGGGCGGAAGCCUGAUGCAGCAACGCCGCGUGCGGGAUGACGGCCUUCGGGUUGUAAACCGCUUUCGCCUGUGACGAAGCGUGAGUGACGGUAAUGGGUAAAGAAGCACCGGCUAACUACGUG